GGGCAUGGAAGAAAAACAUUCAAGGAUGUUAGUGUUAUAGAUAAUCUUUUUUCAUCUGAGGGGCAGGGUCUGUUUUCCUAACGAACAAUGACGUGUGAGAUCGACAGUGUCUUAAUUUGAAAUACAUCACAUGCACAGAUUUAUAAAGAAAUCGUUAGAGGUUGGCAAUUGUCUACUUCGAUUCAAUGAUUUACUAAUGCCUCGAUCAUUUAUCUCGGACUACUAAAAAUGUUAACAGGCAAACAGAUGAAUGUGCAGAAAAAAAUUGGUAUGCAAAUGCCGCAGACAUUGAUUAAAAUUAAAUGCGCAGCUGUGAUUGGCUUGGUCUAUUUAUGCGAAUACAUCGAUCUGUCAAUCCGAAACUAAGAAACAAUUCGUCUGUAAAAAUUGUUUAAAACACAAAGCUAAAAGAAAUAAUGGAUCGAUACAAAUUUAGUGCUUUUUAUAUCUGUAAUGUAGACGCAACAGGUGAAACCACUGUACAAAAAAUGUCCAAACCGGUCAUGACUUGAGGCGCUGAACAAGUCAGUGAUAAUAAUUCUGCUGAGAGAGGUUAUCUUCCUACAGUUUGAGGAUACGUAACCGCCAAUGUCAACAGUGUACCACCAAUGAUAAUUUUUCAUAAAAGGCACUUCAAAAUCGACUUUUAAUAUUGGAGACGGAUCGGAAGGUGUUUGCAGUGGAGUAUAUCCAUAAUGUUGGAUGACAGCUGAUAAAUUUCAUUUUCCUACAUACUAUGACACGUAUGGAACAAAUAACCGAAUAACCC
Molecule: long non-coding RNA, 769 nt
Filed under: Mytilus galloprovincialis (Mediterranean mussel)
Lineage: Eukaryota; Metazoa; Mollusca; Bivalvia; Mytilida; Mytilidae
Source: RNAcentral